This 61-nucleotide transfer RNA is filed under the name Stenocranus matsumurai. RNAcentral describes it as "tRNA-Ala". The record is from RNAcentral. Lineage: Eukaryota; Metazoa; Arthropoda; Insecta; Hemiptera; Delphacidae.
AGGAGAAUAGUUAAAAAUAACAUUUAAAUUGCAAUUAAAAAGUACCCAAAAGUUUCUCUUA